CCGUACACAAAAGCGCAUGUGCUGUGAGCUCGAUGAGUAGGGCGGGACACGUGGUAUCCUGUCUGAAUAUGGGGGGACCAUCCUCCAAGGCUAAAUACUCCUGACUGACCGAUAGUGAACCAGUACCGUGAGGGAAAGGCGAAAAGAACCCCGGCGAGGGGAGUGAAAAAGAACCUGAAACCGUGUACGUACAAGCAGUGGGAGCACAGGUUUACCUGUGUGACUGCGUACCUUUUGUAUAAUGGGUCAGCGACUUAUAUUCUGUAGCAAGGUUAACCGUAUAGGGGAGCCGGAGGGAAACCGAGUCUUAAUUGGGCGUUAAGUUGCAGGGUAUAGACCCGAAACCCGGUGAUCUAGCCAUGGGCAGGUUGAAGGUUGGGUAACACUAACUGGAGGACCGAACCGACUAAUGUUGAAAAAUUAGCGGAUGACCUGUGGCUGGGGGUGAAAGGCCAAUCAAACCGGGAGAUAGCUGGUUCUCCCCGAAAGCUAUUUAGGUAGCGCCUCGUGAAUUCAUCUCCGGGGGUAGAGCACUGUUUCGGCUAGGGGGCCAUCCCGGCUUACCAACCCGAUGCAAACUGCGAAUACCGGAGAAUGUUAUCACGGGAGACACACGGCGGGUGCUAACGUCCGUCGUGAAGAGGGAAACAACCCAGACCGCCAGCUAAGGUCCCAAAGUCAUGGUUAAGUGGGAAACGAUGUGGGAAGGCCCAGACAGCCAGGAUGUUGGCUUAGAAGCAGCCAUCAUUUAAAGAAAGCGUAAUAGCUCACUGGUCGAGUCGGCCUGCGCGGAAGAUGUAACGGGGCUAAACCAUGCACCGAAGCUGCGGCAGCGAACGUAUCACCCAAGACAACUUUACGGAGUUGACGAUUGACGGAGCGAAGCGACGUCAAAGCGUUCAUUAAAGUCGAGUUGGCUUAGGGAUACGUUCGUUGGGUAGGGGAGCGUUCUGUAAGCCUGUGAAGGUGUGUCGUGAGGCAUGCUGGAGGUAUCAGAAGUGCGAAUGCUGACAUAAGUAACGAUAAAGCGGGUGAAAAGCCCGCUCGCCGGAAGACCAAGGGUUCCUGUCCAACGUUAAUCGGGGCAGGGUGAGUCGACCCCUAAGGCGAGGCCGAAAGGCGUAGUCGAUGGGAAACGGGUUAAUAUUCCCGUACUUGGUGUUACUGCGAAGGGGGGACGGAGAAGGCUAUGUUGGCCGGGCGACGGUUGUCCCGGUUUAAGCGUGUAGGUGUGUGUUCCAGGUAAAUCCGGUUCACUUUAACACUGAGGCGUGACGACGAGGCACUACGGUGCUGAAGCAACAAAUGCCCUGCUUCCAGGAAAAGCCUCUAAGCAUCAGGUAACAUCAAAUCG
Molecule: ribosomal RNA, 1354 nt
Filed under: Salmonella enterica subsp. enterica serovar Typhimurium
Lineage: Bacteria; Pseudomonadati; Pseudomonadota; Gammaproteobacteria; Enterobacterales; Enterobacteriaceae
Description: partial 23S ribosomal RNA
Rfam family: Bacterial large subunit ribosomal RNA
Source: RNAcentral